Molecule: long non-coding RNA, 244 nt
Filed under: Elaeis guineensis (African oil palm)
Lineage: Eukaryota; Viridiplantae; Streptophyta; Magnoliopsida; Arecales; Arecaceae
Description: long non-coding RNA (EGUI_LNC011257)
Source: RNAcentral
UUCCCACCGAAAAGAUCUCUCUCCCCCACCUCCAAUGGUAGCCCAGCUCUUCACGUCCUGUAAUCACUACGGAGAUACAAAUUGCUGCUUUAAUACGGUAAAUGAAGGUAUUGAUAGAGGCAGUAUACAGUCUCCAACAAUAACAAACACAGCAGCAGCCACCGCUGGCGGAGGAGUCGGUGGCACAUUCAGUGCCAUUCAGAUACAGCUGCUGUCCUCCACGACGGUCACUUUCUCCAUCCCU